Molecule: unclassified non-coding RNA, 367 nt
Filed under: air metagenome
Description: partial contains small subunit ribosomal RNA, internal transcribed spacer 1, and 5.8S ribosomal RNA
Rfam family: Eukaryotic small subunit ribosomal RNA (bases 1-46)
Source: RNAcentral
AAGUCGUAACAAGGUUUCCGUAGGUGAACCUGCGGAAGGAUCAUUAUUGAAUUAUGUUUUCUAGACGGGUUGUAGCUGGCUCCUUGGAGCAUGUGCACGCCUGUUUGGACUUCAUUUUCAUCCACCUGUGCACCUUUUGUAGUCUUUGUCGGGUAUUGAGGAAGUGGUCAGCCUAUCAGCUUUUGCUGGAUGUGAGGACUUGCAGUGUGAAAGCAUUGCUAUCUUCUACUUGGCCAUGGAAUCUUUUUCCUUGACGGAGUCUAUGUCAUUUAUUACACCCUGUAGAAUGUCAUUGAAUGUCUUUACAUGGGCUUGCAUGCCUAUGAAAAUCAUAAUACAACUUUCAGCAACGGAUCUCUUGGCUCUC